Molecule: unclassified non-coding RNA, 336 nt
Filed under: soil metagenome
Description: partial contains 5.8S ribosomal RNA, internal transcribed spacer 2, and large subunit ribosomal RNA
Rfam family: 5.8S ribosomal RNA (bases 1-120)
Source: RNAcentral
GAUGAAGAACGUAGCGAAAUGCGAUAAGUAAUGUGAAUUGCAGAAUUCAGUGAAUCAUCGAAUCUUUGAACGCGCAUUGCGCCGAUUAGUAAUCUAGUGGGCAUGCCUGUUCGAGCGUCAUUUCAACCCUUAAGCCUAGCUUAGUGUUGGGAAUCUGCUGUAUUGCAGUUCCUCAAAUACAACGGCGGAUCUGUAACAUCCUCUGAGCGUAGUAAAUUUUUAUCUCGCUUUUGUUAGGUGUUGCAGCUCUCAGCCGCUAAACCCCCCAAUUUUUGUGGUUGACCUCGGAUCAGGUAGGAAUACCCGCUGAACUUAAGCAUAUCAAUAAGCGGAGGA